CUUACAUUAUGCAGGCCAUUAUGUGCACAGAUCAAGCUUCCUGAUUUUUCUUUUAGGGUUUAAGAAUAUAGGCUGCUGUGAUUUAGCUGUCCCUUGAGGAGAGUAGCGCAAAUCAAGAAGGCUUAGAAGGGUGUUGUUCCAUUUCAAUUUUCCAGGUAAGAUUUGGCUUUGAAAGUGCUACCUUCUUCCUUGUACUUAACUUUCCCUAAAUCACUUAAAAGCUUUUAUGUUGAGUGAAUGAGCAGAUCUAAAAUAAUGACUUUACUUGAGAUAGCUUCAUGUAAAAUCACUAAAUUGAUUUUCUUCCAGUUUUAAAUUGAAGGGGAAAAAUAAAGAGGUAGAGUUAAUAUUGUCUGUGAGAAUGGAUCUAAUGUUUGUUUCUUCUUGAUUUCAGAGUAGUAGAUUCAUUUCAACAAAGAGGUCGUGUGUUUAAGGUUAAAAUAUUGAUUUUUUUUUUGCUAUAGGAGCAAAUAUCAUUAUUUCUAUUUGGAGGAAAGGUUUCAAAUCUUGUGUGACUGGUUCUGGCAAUGAAAUAUGCUUUAUAUUUUGUGACCUUCUCAAAGAUUGCUUAAUCUUAUACAUAAGUAUAACUUGAUUAUUUGUCUCUCAAAAAAACACACAUUUUUUUAUUAUCUUUUCCUUCUGUUGGCUAUUUUCUUGAUGAUUAAGAUAAAAUCAGGGUUCAUAUACUGAGUGGUGCUCAUAAAAGUUAUGAUACAAACAAACAAAUUUUAAAAGGCUGUCCUUUAUCCUCAGGAAGUAAAACAACAGUUCUUGGUUCAGUUAGUAGGUUCCAGGCUCACAAAUGCUGUGCUCACUGUGGGUAAUACCUGGUGAAACUUGAAAAAAGACUGGGUUGUUUGUCAGGUCAAAUCAUCCUGCUAAUGUUAAGGGAGGCAUUGCUUUCUUAGGCUCAAGCUGAAUGCUGUAAUCCUAUGAAUUUAAAGUUAACAUCACAGAGGCUGGGUACGCUAUAUGUUGAAACAGGUGUUCACAGAUGAAUGUAGCUGAAUGAAGUUAUUGAUCCUUUCUUCAUAUUUUACCUCCUGUCUUGCAUGCUUCUAGUUUUUCUUAGGAACUUAGCUCCUUUAAAAGGAAGAUCACCCAAAUGGAUACAAGUCAGGUCAAAUACUUGUUGUCUCAUUAGGUAAGUUUCCAGUUGUUCAAGGUUUGAAGCCACCUAAGUAUAAAUAUGACUUGUGUAAUGUGAGCCUUCAUUGAUGCUGCAGAGAAAUUAUUUCAGCAUGCCUUUACCUGACAAUAUGAUUUUGGUUUUCCACAAAUGAACCAAGACUUUCAUAUGGAAACUAUUACAUGGAAUAACGUUGAUAAAAUUAUAGUUGAAUAGGAACAUAUAAUCCAUUCAUUUAGUUUUAACUCUAAAAAAGCUAGAGUCUCUUUUAUUGAAUUCUUAUAUAUUCUUAAUGAACUAAAAUCAUCAUAGUAUCAUCAGCUAUCGUAAAUUCAUCACACUAUUUUUUAAUAUGUAGUAGUAAAACUGAAGCAUUUACAUAAAUUGCAUAAUUUGUGAUUACCUAUGCUUGGUGUGACUUACCAAUUUUAGUUUUUUUUAGGACUGUGCACUUGAUUCCAGGUAGGAUGUAAUUAAGCAAUUCCAUUGUAGUUCAUAUUUCUUGCUUCGCCUUGCUCAAAAGUGCUCUUUACUCUGAAUUUGUCCUUUUGAUAUACUGGUGCUUUAGGGCUUAAAAUAUCUAUGCUGGUAAAUGUGUGUUUUGUUUUGUUUUUAAUUUUUUUUUGCAACUGUUAGACCAAGGUGACAUGUGAAUAUAUGGGAUAAAUGGAGUGGAGCAAAAUUCCAGACUGAUACAAUAUCUCAGAGAAAAAUUUCUCAUAUCUACAUAUCUAGCAUAUUAUUUCCUCUUUGAUGGUAUGGCAAAGUGAUUAUGACAUUUUUUUAAAUAACUAUACAGGGAAUAUUUACUACUACAACAAACAUUGUUUAUUUAUUUAUUUUUCCUUUGUUUUGUGGUACUGGGGAUUGAACUCAGAGGUGAUUUACUACUGAGCUACAUGUAGCCCUUUUUAAUUUUUAUUUUGAGAUAGGACUUCACUAAGUUGCUGAAGCUCGUCUCAAACUUGUGAUCCUCCUGUCUCAGCCUCCUGAGUCACUGGGUUUACAAAUAUGCACCACCACGACCAGUUUGAUGGCAUUUCUGUGUGGCAUUUUUAGUUGUUGUUAAGCAAAUAUUAACUGAUAUUGAUGUCUUCUCCAUGGGUUAAGAAUUUUCAAAAGGAAUGAGGUCCAUCUAAAUCUGGAUGGCAAUCAGUGUACAAAAUUUUUGUUUCAAGCUUAAUUCAGAAGAGACUGAACUAUACUGAUAAUUAAUAGAUCAUAGUGAUAGACAUAUCAUAAAAUGAUAAAGAGCACUUGUUAAUUAUUGGAUCUAAUGGCUGUAACACCUUGAGAAGACUUUAAGAAGGUUCCUAAAAGCAUUAUGAAAUGAUGUGUGUGUAAAAGUAGUGGGGGUGGGGGUGGGGGUGGAGGAAUGGUUAGCUGAUAGUGUAGAGGAAAUGAACCAUAUUAUCAACUAGCCCAUGCUUCUCCAGUUUGUCUGCAAGAACACAGGAAGCCUAAGAGGCUUUGACAAAUCCUUCAUGGAAAUCAAGAUUAAACUGCUGAUAGCAUUACUCUAAUCUAUCAUUCAAACUCUAGUCAAAUACAAGGUUAAUUUUAUGUAUUUCAUUUAUUGUGAACUCAAGUAGGCUUUUGAUUAUUAAUUCGUCUAUUGCAGAGACUCAACAUUUAUCAUUGUUCUACAGUUACUUCAGGAAUUCUCACUAAGUAGCUUAUUAAUUUUUCAGCAACACUUAUUUUUUCUGUGUUUUGAAAACUGGGAUAUUUGCCCUAUGACACAUCUCUUAAACAUCAUUUCAAAGAUUUCUAAAAAACAUUCUCAUGCCUUUAAUUGCUAACUUCUCUGUAGUCAUUUGGUAUAAAAUUUAUCUGACUAGAAAUUCAGAAUAAUAUAUAAAAUAAUAUAGUGCUUUCUUAUUCUCUGCUUCUUAAAAUACUAGAUGAUUUUCCUUAAUAUAAGUACUUCUUUUAGUAAUUAUAAUUGUUAUAUUGUUUAUAUAUAAUCAGUACCAACUUUGUCUUGCUCUGAUAUGCCAUGAGGGAUGUUCCCAUCUUUUUCCCUUAAACGAUUUUUAACACUCCUCAACUGCAAUGAUUUGAUUUUUGAACCAUUCUUAUAUGUUCCUUUUUCAGUGUUUCUUAUAAGCAUUUCUAAAACUUGAAAGCCUAGUCUUUCUUCUGUCUCCCCACUUUUCCGUCAAGCAGUUAAGAGUUUGGCAAUGACUGAAGAUGUUUUUCAUUCAUGACAACAGAGGGGGUGGGGUAGUCCUGGCAUCUAGUGGGUAAGGAGCAGAGAGGUUGCAAAGUAUUUUCAAUGCACAGGACACUCCCCCACAACAAGAAGUGCCCAAUUCCAAAGGUCAAUGACAAGAAAUCCUGCUUUGCAGGUCUCACAUAUCGUACCAUGGAUAAAUACAUGAUUACAGGUCAGAAUUUUGUUUUGAGGACAUCUUGAAAUUUCAUGUGACUUCAUUUCUUUUAUUUUUAAUAUUUCCCUAUAGGAUCACACCUAUUUUUUAAUUGAACUUUCUGUAACCUACACAUUUAAGGUCUAGGAAUCAUGAUCUGACUGGAUUAUCCAGUUUUCCCUUCCUUGAUUAUUACCAGUACCAAAAUGACAAUGGUCAUAUUAUCUUUAAGCUCAUGUCAUGGCCAUAUUACUAAAUAGUGCUUUGUCUGAGUAACUUGUAGAUUAUUUCCCUUAUUGCUUCUACUUGAGCAUAAAGAAGGAUUCAUUAAAGCAAGACAAUAAUCAUCUGUUUAAUGACUGUCCUGGAUUUCUGGGUCCAAUGUCGUUCUUUAAUAAUCAUUCAUUCAUUCUACAGAUAUUUAUAGAGCACCUAUCAUGUUCUACUUUUAUGGUGAUUAUGUUCUAGUGGAAAUCAAAAAAAAAAUGCCCAUUUUCUUUAACCAUUUUGAUCUUGUUCUACUAUAUGUUAAAAACCAAAUUUCAACAACAAAUAAUCAGUUAUAAAAGUUCAUUCAGACUUUUUCUCCCCUUUCACAUACACCUCUGUUUCUUGGGAACUGUCAAGAACCUGUCCAUUAAUUUCUGAACUUCACUUUUUUGCAGAUGUCAAUCUAUUUUUAGUUAUAACUUACUUUGUGUGCAUUCUAAAAGUCUGACUUUGGAGUAAAUUUUGAAUGGAGGGAAAUCAAAUAUUUAAUGAGCUGAACCAGUGGUAAUAAAAAUAGUCAAUCUGGCUCUUAAGGAAAAAUAGCCAUAAAAGUAAAGAUGGAAAAUUGUGAAAGGAAAGAGAUCAGUCAUGCUUGAAACUUAAUUUAUUUGCUAUGCAAGAAGAAGAAGAAGGAGAAGGAGAAGAAGAAGAAAAAGAAGAAAGUAAAACAAAACAAAUGUCAAGAAAAAGUGAAGAAAAGAAACAAUAACAUCCAUUUCUAGGGUAACUGUAACUCAGUGGAAUUUUUUUCUCUGGUGGUAUUUCUAUCCCUGACAAUUCUUUAGAGUUCCAUACUUAUUUUAUGGCAUAUUCCUCAAUAGUUGUGGAUAAAAUUGGCUUCUUAGGGACUCAGAAGCAUAAAUGAAGCAAAAUAGUAUAAUUUUAUUAUUCCAACCUGAAUAGUCUUUGAUUUUAUUUUAUAUUUUUUUCCCAUUUCUUGGUGCUUGUUUUCUUACUAUAAACUAGAAUAUAUGAAUGCUCCUGUUAAAUAGUCUACUAAUUUGUUAAAACAUGAACAAAAAAAUGUUGCUUUAAAAAUCUCACACUUUGUAAAGCUAUCUCUUUUUAACUAAUAUUUAACUUACAAAUAUUGCAUUUAUUAGAAGCUGAUUCUCAUCUUCUCUUUUCAAAUUAGAGAUAAAUUAUGAUCUUUCCUAACUAGGAGUUUCUUGUUAUAAAAAAUACCAGGAAACAGUAUGCAUAUGACUUUAGAAAACUGAUUGUAUUCUGUGGAGUUUAUGGAAAAUGAGAUAAAUUCUAAUACUCUGGCUUAUAACUGGCUUUCUAAUGAUGAUUUUGAAACAGAAAACUGCUUAUUCUUUUCUUAAAAGUCACAGUGACACUGACGGAUUGCAAAGAAAUUGCCUUUGUUAUUCAAGCAAAGCCAAGAGGAGUCACUUCUUUUUUCAAGUCCAGGCAACAUUCUGAACACGGGCAAGUUACCUGGUCUCCAGGAACCUAAAUUUCCUCAACAGUGAACUGAGUAAAAAUAUGUAUCUCAUAGGGUCUUUAUGGAAACUAAAUGUGAAAAUACAGGUUAGUAUUUGCUAUAGAGAAAUCACAUAAUAACAAAGUGAUAUUCCUCUUUUAUAACCUUAGGCACAGACUGUCAUAUUUCAUUUGUUAAAAAAAUGCUGAAAGAAUCUUAAACGACAUCUAGUGUACCAAGCAUCUGAUGCUAGAAUAGUUUAUAGAUGUCCCCUAAGCACUAGCCUGUGCUUUAAUUGUUCUAAUAAAAUAAAAAGUGUUACCUCCUAAGGCAUCAGACAUUGGUAAAAAAUUACGUUGAAACUUAUGAGACUGCCACUUUUAUAGGUCAAAACAGCCCAAUAUUGUCAAACUUCAUGAGUCAACCUAACGCAAAUCCUACUCACAAGAUAAUUCUAUAUGAUAAAAAUGUGAUAUGACUUGAUAAGGCUAGAAUGUAGAGGUAGCUGUAUUAUUGUUAAAAACCAUUAUUAAAAAACACUUUUUGAGAGAAAAUAUAGUAGUCAUUAGGAGCCUAGACCAGGGGUCAAUAAGUUGUAAUCUAUGGACCAAAUCUAGUCCACUAUUUUGUGUAGCCCACGGGAUAAGAAUUCCAUUUGCAUGUUUAAAGAGUUGGGGGAAAAAAACUGAAGAAUACUUUCUGACACAUGGGAUUUAUAUGAAAUUUAAAAUUUUAGUGUCCAUAAAUAAAGUUUUUAUGGAACACAUCCAUGCUUCUUCAUUUACAUAUUACGUAAGUCUGUUUUUCUGCUGUAAAGACCAAGUUAGGUAGUUGAGACUAUGACUUCACAGCUCAUAAAGCCUAAAUACUACCUAUCCCUUCAGGGAAAAAAAUUGCUGACCCCUAUCCUAGAGUCAUACUGCCUGCAUUCAAAUGCCAAUGUCACUACUUCUUAACUAGGUAAUCUAGGCAAAUUGUUUAAUAUUUCUGAGCCUGGUAAAAUAAUUUUAAGUGCCAAGCAUAUCACAAAUACACUAUAAAUGUUACUAUGAUUGUUAAUAACCAUUAAUACUCUUCUGGGGUGCCAUUGUAAAUGGGCUAUGACUGUUACAUUGAUAUAUCAUGAUAUAAAAUUCAAACAACUUUCAUCAGCAUCUGUGGACUUAAUAGUAAAAUGCAACCACUUGCUCGUAUAAAUGAUUUUAAUAUUUACAUCUCACUCUAACACAUGGUUCAUUUCAAGUUAAAAAUAUUUAAGCUUCUAAAUUUGCAAAUGCUAAGCUGCAACAUAGGGGCUGUUUUGUCCCUUGGACAAUGAACAUCUGCUGAAACAAUUUGUCCAAUGGAGCAUUUGCUUCUGCUGGCCUUUUUAUUUUUUAUUUUUAUUUUUUUUAAGAAAUGGAAAAAGGAUCAUUGUUUAACUGCAACUCUUCUCAUCUUCUAAACCAAGAAAUUUUCUCUUGGGACAACAUGUUUCUAGGACUUGGAAAUGUGAAGUGACCUCAACUGUUUAUUUAUUUAUUUUUUUCCCAUUCAAAUAAGUGAAGUUUUAUUUUGAGUGCCUUAUCUUUUUUCUUUCCUAUUUAAAUAUUGUUUGAAAGACCAUAGGCUCCCAACCCCAAACUGUCCCAAGAUUUCAAGAUUCUGUAUUGACUUGAGUUCUGCAGCACUUGCUAAAUCUGAAAAAGACUACUGAAAAAAGACUAGAGGUAGAGUAGGGUUACCACACAGCAGAAACAAGGUUUUAUAUUAGAAAAGCUUCUUAGAAAUGGCGCAGAUCUAUUACUUAUUGUAUGCAAAGUUGGAAAGGUCUGGUGGGAAGAGGAUCCAAAAUCUUGAAAAUAAAAUAAAAUACUCCCGAAGCUAAAAUUUCAAUAGCAGGCUAGUGAUAAUAGAUGGUUUCGUGGAAGGACUGAUAAACUUUAAGUCUAAGACUUAUCAGUUAGGUUACUUCUCCAGCUUUUCUGCAUUAGUUUCCCCAGGGGAAGUGAAGAGAGGACACUUGAAGCAUUCAGCUUUAUGAGGCAUCCUUAAAGAGUUGGAGAAUAAUAACUAUUAGAGGUCUCUGGGUAAACCAGUUUCAAUUAAAGAUGCUUCUUUUGUUACCUUGCUUAAAAGAGCUUCUGGUCCUUGGGGAUUACAUCAAGAGCAAUGAAUUGUAUCUGAAAUGGGGAAGGGAAAGAAAGUGUUGUCAAAUUUCUUGUUAAUUCAUAAGCAUGAAGUGUUGUUUACAGUAUUUCAAUAGGACAAAGUAGCCUGAGACCUGCAAGUCAGUAUUUAAGCAUUGAAGAGUUUCUGUUUGCCAUAGAAGUGAGGAACCGUGCAGUUUUCAAAUGGAAUGGGUUGUAUUGCAUAUAAAUCAUUCCUAAUAUUGGUUUGUUUUCUACUUAAUAUGUUUAUUAUUAAAUUGGUUGAAUAUAUAAAGAAGAAGUUCAGUUAGUUACCAACUCAAAAAUAGUUUGCCACAUGUUAUAUAUUUUGCCACUUAGUUAAAAUCUUUAGCAUUCUUUGGUACGGAGACUUAGGAUGCUUGUGGGAUGGAGGGAAAUUUUCCUUUGAGUGAACUGUAAGAAUCUUUUGGAUGACAGUCAAACACUUCUGUAAUUUCCGUCACCAUUUUUAGAUUCUUUGGCAUCACUUAUUUCAAGUAUGUCUCUGGAAUGUCAGGGAGAUGCCACACAUCAUUUUGAAUAUUGUGUUUUAAUAUAAUAUCAGGCAAAAUUUAUUCUUAGAGAAUUCAGAAAAAUAGGUAGGAUGCUUUAUUUUCUUAUCUUUUGUCAAAACACAAAACUUUAAUUAAGAACCAAAUGGGGCUUCUGGUCAGUUUUCUACCUGUGAAAUUAGAUUAGAAAGGAAUUUUUAUUCUCUGGCUAUAGACAGUAACAGAUUUAUAUGUAGAGGGGAAAAGAAUUGAGAAGAAGGGAACCCAUAAUGUAGACUUAUCUCUUAAACUAUCAAAUGGUCCAAAUAUUUGGUCCAAAAUUGUGAAGUUGUUUUAUUCUGGAUAUUGACACUUGAGUCCUCUACAUUUAAACUUUUUAGAAGAAUGAGUUUGCUAAUACUUUGAAAUUAACUUUCUCUUAUCAUUUUCCAAGUUGAAUAAAUCUGAGAUUUAAAAUUCUAUCACUGCUAGCUACUCUAAUUCUCUUAAGUGAGCAUGUUAAAUUUGUUGUGCUGGCACCAGUAGACAUAGGGAAAGAAAGAGGAAGACAGACCUCAUGAGAUCAUCUAAUCCGCACUAACGUCAUUGAAAACAGUUGGUUCCUUAGUUUAAGGUUUCCAAGUGAUUUGUUACACCUGAAAUUGCUGUAUGAUUAAGUCUCUAAUAAUAAAAGAGGUUUGCUUGCCUUUCUGAUCAAGAAUCACUGCAGUAUCAAACAAAGGAUGAAUUCUUUCCUAAGAAGCUUAUGACCAAUUCAGGUCUCUACAAGCAUUCCAGGAACAAGAUUCCUUUUCGUUACCAAGAUCAUAAGUGUGAUUUUGGCCCAGAAGCUUAAAAACUACAGCACAUAUGCAGUGUCUCACUUGUUCUGUGAACCAUUUUUUUUUUUUUAUUCCUGUGUUCCAAAUUUUUUUUUUUCUAUCCUUGUGAUAUUGGGAAACAGCAGGUAUGAGUAUUUUUAGCUGGCUUACCUGAAUCAAUCUCUCCCCAAGUCAACAUAUUUGAACUAACAACAAUCACAACAAAUUCUUAGCAGAAAAAAAAAAAAAAAAAAACCUCCCUGCUCACUAUUUUCUAGCUCCUGUCUUGUUAUUUUUAGUUUUGUGACCUUGGGAAAAUCAUUUACAUUCUCUGAAUCUUUUUCCUCUUCUGUGGAGAAUGAGUCUAAAGGACUAUAAGAGUUUCUUUUGAGCAAAUUUGAAGCAAUUUUGUGAUGAAGAAAGGGCAGUGGGAGAGAGACACGUCAGGAAUUCCUCACACUUCUACCAUUCCCACAAGGACAGCAGACUUUUAGCCACGACCCCAGUUUCAUUAUUUAUCUUAAUUUUGGGGAUAAAAAUUCACACAAAGCUAAUGUAUUUAAAGUUGAUGGGGAGAGAGAUUCUGAAUUAUAACCUUUCAUUUUAGCUAUUUUUUAAAAAAAAGAGUUUUAAGGUUUGAAAACUGGUAUGUUUUAGAUUAGAAAACUGAAUCACAUAUCAUGUGUUAGUCUCUGAGGAAAUAACAGUUACUAAUGCUAAUUAUUAACUUUGGUGUUGACUUCUUUUCCCUUGUAAUUAACAAAAUGCAACUUUUCAUCAUUUCCCGGAUUUUUAUGAUAAAUGUAUUUCUCUCUAGCACUGCUUUGUUAAAACCCUCCAGAAAAGUUCAAAAUAUACUCUAUUGAUAAAGUGUUCAUAAAGAUUAACUUUUAGUGAUUCCAUUUCAUGGACAUGAACAAAUAGAAUCUUUUAUCAAGAGGUCAUCUCUUCAUUGAUGGCUUUGAAGGUGGGGGGAAAAUUUUUGUUGAUAAACACCUUAUUGCAAUUCUUGAGAUUGCCGCAAAUGGCAGAUAUGUGUUUGAUGAUUGUAAAAUAACCAGUUAUGCUCAGAUGAUAUAGUCAACACACUGGAAAUAGGAAAAGGAGCUAGUUGUGUUUCACUUCCUGAAUUUUUAUGUCCAAAAGCAGAAAUGUUUUGUUUACUUCUUGUUUUGUGGAGCUGUUGCAAAAAUGUCAUUUCAUUGCAAAGUUAGAGAUAGUGAGUUUUACUUAACUGUGUGGAAAGUCUAUUACUAGGUAUAUGCCAAAGUGUUACUGUAGAAUUGGUUUAACAUGAAAGAUCUAGAAGCAUAUCCUUUCUAUUAGAUGAUGUUAGGAAUCAUUAUCUUUCAAAUAUAAAAAUAUUCUUAAUUUUAAAUGUCAUCUGUUUAGUGCAUUAGGCUGACAAUGUUACGCUGGCUCAAUGGCACCAUGGAGCAUUAUUGUCCAUUACAGAAAAUUGUGCAUGGCAGAUAAUAGACAUAAGAAGAGCUAGUGAUCAGUUACAAUGCUAAUGUUCAUAUUUUUUUGUCACUACUGAAAAGAGUAAAUAAAAAUUUCCACAGAAUCCACAGUACCUGAAUAAUGCAAAGUUAUAAAUGUACACACAUUACAAAACUGAAAUAAUGUAAAUAAUUUUACACCUUUUAUCACAAAUUAGAGGAGACUCCACUAAAGUGUCUAUGGCUUUCAACUUUAAAACUCUUCAUAGUCUAGUUUGUUUUCAAGGUGGAUUUUAUUAACUAUUAUUCGAAAAUUAAAAGUAUACUGCAGAUUGAUUUUGACAAAUGUCGAAAAUAAUCUAAUUUUUUUCAUUUGAGUUCCUGAGGUAAUCACAGAGAAAACCAGUAACUUUGUAAAUACAGUGACGUCUCCAGGAGCCUGUGAAAACCAGAAUGGAUAUAACUGUAUAAAAGAUGAAUCUAUGAGGAUAAUGUCCAAGUACAUUAUUUUCUUCAACUGUUCUGAUUCAAGGGGGCCUCACUGGAGAAGAAUUCAAAUAAUAAGAUAAUAGCUCUCUUAAUACUCAGAUUCAUUGUCCAAGAUAACCUAGAAUCACAAAUAGAGUACUUUCAUUUUUGCACAGAAAUAAAGGGUGAAGAAAUUCAGAAGUUCAAUUCUAAAAAGAUCAUUAAAACACUCCUCAUGUAGGUGUUUGCCUACAGGAGGUAUUGGCUAUCUGUGUGGCCCUAGUCAUUUAGUUUAUUUUCCUUGAAUAAAAAUGGCCCCACUUUUAUCCAUACCCUGGGUCUCUUAUGUAGUGUGAAACACAUAAUUUUCCUGUUUCUCCUUCCAUCACUCCCAGGAGCUCCACUCCUCAGGGAGUUCUGAAUCUCAAGGGGGUUGUUCUUCUCAUUUUACCCUUUCAUUCUCAGCUUCCACAGUGUGGAAAUCUCUUUCCUAUCUCUUCCUCUUUUAAGCAUCCCCUUCUAUUCAUUCUGCAAGAACCUAAAAUGAGCACGUGUUUUCAUUUAUCUCCCUAAAACACAUUUUCUACUAGCUGGGUCAAUGAUCUUGUGUAUUUCCUGAGAUAGGAGGACAUUAUAGCACAGCACAGACAUCCUUGUUCACUAGCCAUCCUGGCCGCUGGCCUGUACUUUCUCAGGCCCUGGCUUCUGGGGCUUUGCUGCGCUGGCUUUCUUACCUUGUGCUAUUCCCCUACUGCUUUCUGUGGGCUUGCAAAACGUGCCUCAUCUGUCUCUAGUUAAAGCAAAACAUUCUUCUUCAUUAUGCAAGCAUCAUAUUUUGUACAGUGUUUAAUUCAUUUUAGCUGAACUUCAAAAGCAGAGUGAAAGAUGGUUUACCAAGAUGAUUUGCUAAAGAAGGCAAUUCUUUUUCCCCAGGAGCAAUUCUGUUACCUCCUUUUAUCUGCUCUAGUUCUACCUACACGCAAAGUUUUGUGGCACACUCUACAUUUUGAUGGAUUAGCGAGGACAGCAUUAGUUUUUGAAGGGCUCUUGAAAGAGAUUCCUUCCUACUCUUCCUGACUAUAUACAAAUCCCAAACCCAGUUGAUUCUACUUGAAACAUGCUUCUUCCCUCUGUAACUACCCUAGUCCAAAUAUCUUUUCAAAAACCUCCUAACCUCUUGUUGGGAGAAAAAAACCUUUUGCCAACUUUGAGUGACAGGGAUGUGAGGAGAGGCUGAACAUUAACUGACAUUGGAGUAAUAGGACAAGUUUAUUUUCACAUGCAUGGGGGAGCACCCCCUGUACAGUGACUUCCUGAACAAGUAGAUAAGAGUUUCUAGACCCACAUAGUAAAGAGGAAGGGUAGGAAUUCAAAUGAUAGAAGGUUCUAAUGAAGCUUGUUUAUACAUUUUUUUUUUUUUUGGAAUGUCCCAGUGCCCAGGGCCAGCUGCCUCCCUGGCUAUGGCUAUAGAUUUCCUGGAGGGGCAAUUUGUGGCAGCUGACUCUUUGUGUUAGUCAGAUAAGAGAAAUUUAGAUAAGCACCCCCUCCUUUUUUUUUCUGCAUCUGUUGUAACUCAGAUCUAUGUUCACUUUGCAAUUAUACUAAUUUGGUGGGUUGGUGGUCCCUAGAUUAUCUCUCUACCUGCAGCCUAUUUCUUACUAAUCUGUUCUCCACAUUGUAGCCAGAAAUAUUUCUAAAACACCUGAUCAUGGUGUCCUGCCUUCUUAAAAAUACUUCAGUGGCUUUUCACUGCCAAGGAUUAUGAUGUAUAAUCCGAGAUUUACCACUUGCCCACUAAAGCUUAAAGAACAAAAGAGUAAAAUUGUAUAAAUCUAGCCUAGAUGGCUAGAGCUGACUUAUAUGGCACAAGAUGUGGGACAAAGCGGGUUAAGUUAUGAUACACAAAAAGUCUUUGGUCUGUCUUUGGUGAGCGUGUUUCUCAGAUUUUACUUCUGAAAAAGAACUGCUUUGGGAAGCAUGCCAAAGUACCAAAUCUUUUCCUUUUCUCUUAAACUUUAAUUAACAUUUACUCCCUUGAGGGCCUUACUGAAAUGCCUGGCUAAGUUCAUAAGCUUAUUCUUAUGAAAGUUAAUAAGCUAAUGUACUAUGUAUCUCCACAUACAGUGUUUCUGUUUGACUAAGGUCCUUCACAACUUACUCCACAGGAUAAUCUGUAAAAGGAUUUUCAGACACUGAAGCAACAGGUGAGAAGAAAAUUUGAGCAAUGGCUUUUGUAUUAUUUAUGACUAGAAAUGGCCUCACAGGGAAGAAUUCUAUUGCCUUUGUAUAAUUUGAGCCAGUCAGGAGAAAGUUUCAUGCUCUCCCAGGUAACCCUAAUAUAUAGCAUAAUAGUUAUCUUGUGGUAUCCAGUUGUUAUUAUAUUUGAAUCAUCCAUACUUUUAAAAAAUAACUUUAUUUAAAUAUAAUUUACAUGCCAUAAACCCACCCAUUUAAAAUAUAUAUAAUUCAGUGUGUUUUUUUGUUGUUGUUGGGCAUUCACAGAGUUGUGUAAAUCAUCACUGCUAAUUUUCAAACACUGUCAUCUUUGUCAUCAUAUCCCUAUAACCCAUCAGCAUUUAUCCCCCAUUCACAACCUGUAUUAGAUAAUAAAUUAUUUUCUGGCUCUACAGAUAUUCCUAAUUCUGUGUUUUCAUACAAAUGGAAUCAUGUAAUAUGUGAUUUUUAUGAUUUUCCAUUCACAUGAUGUUUUCAAUGUUUAUCUAUGCUAUGUGUUGCAUGUAUCAAUAUGUCAUUAUUUUUUUUUGCCAAAUAAUAUUCCAUCAUAUGGAUAUCCAACAAACGUUGGUACAUUCAUCAAUUGAUGGACAUAUGAUCCUUUCAUGGACUUAUUGGCCAUUUUUAUACUCUCUCUGGAGAAGUCUAUUUGGAAAAAUGUCUGUUCAAAUCCUUCUCCCCAUUUUAAUUGGGUUGGGUUUGUUUUUAUUUAGUCAUAAGAGUUCUUUAUACAUUCUAGAUACAAGUCAGAUACAUGAUUUGUAAAUAUUUUCUCCCAUUCUGUGAGUUAUCUUCACUUUUUGUUGGUGUCUUUUGAAACACAAAAAUUUUAAUUUUGAAGAAAUCCAAUUAAUUCCUUUUUGUUGCUUAUUCAUUUGGAGUUACAUCCAAGAAACCAUCGCCUAAUUCAAGUCAUGAAGAUUUGCUGUGCCAAGUGGAUUUGCUCAUGCUUUCUUCUAAGAGUAAUAUAGUUUUAGUUUUUAAAUUUAGGUCUGUAGUACAUUUAAUUUUUAUUUUGUAUACAGUAUGAGGCACAGGAUCUGAUUUGAUUCUUUUACAAAUAGAUAUCUAGUUGUCUUAGUAACAUUUAUGGAAAUUAAUGUGGUUUUAAUCUAUACAUAGGGAAGCUAUUAUGUUAUGUUAUGUUAGUAAUUAUGUUAGCUAUCUGUCACUGAGUAUCCCAGUAAGCAAAUUUAAUUCUGAGAGUAUUCAGGUAUUGACACUCAGUUGUGUAAGUUUGUAUACACUGCAUUUUUUCAUAGGUACUGCUCUAUUAAAUAAGUUUCAGAUGUUGGGAGUAUUUCUCUUCUCCAAAGGGAACAAUUUACCAUAUUUAAUGCAAAAAUGGAUGAGAACUUUCAAAAGUAAUUAAUCUGGAUCUAUAAACACCUUAAUAAUUACUCCAUUUAUUCCCUCCAUAAAUAUUUAUUGAGGACCUACUAUGGGCUGAGAAAAUAAUGUUAAUAUGCUUAACAUAUUCCCUGUCUUUAAGAAGCAUAUUUUAUAUAGAAAAGAAAAAAAGGUAUGAAAAUAGAUACAUGAUAGGUCGAGGGUUAUAAAGAAAAUAAAAGUAAAGUAAGAGGGUAGAGAGUGAUACAGAAAAGGGAUGCUAAUUUAUACAAUGUAGACAGAGAAAAUCUCUUUGAUUAAGGUAAUAUUUAGGUAGAAACCUGAAGGCUGCAGGGAAGUAUUCAUGUAGCUAUAUUAAAGAAAAGUAAAUCUAGGUAGUGGGAAGAGCAAGUACAAAAACCUGAUAAAGUUUGUGUGGCUCCUCCCAGUUUUUACCUCUCCCUCCUUAUGUCUAAUGCAAAUUGCAUAUUUUUUGCAGCCAUCUCCCUCCAUUUUACCAGUUUCUUUGAAAAAAAUGAUUUUGCCAUAAUGGAUUAUACAUUGUACCAUAUUAAAGAAGAUAGAGUGUCCUGUUUCAAAAGUGAGUAAGAUGAUAAGGCAGAUGUUUUUCCUAUGUUGCACUGGCAUCCUUGAAAAAGCUUUACUUCUGAGACUGCAACUUCAACUCGACAAAUUUUAUUGAAUGUCUAUGGUGGUAUUUCCCAAGUCAGCCUCUAUGGGCCACAUUUGUGGUUCAGAACUUUCACUGGAGACUUAACAAUGGUUUGAAUAAUUAAGGAUAGUUAGUCAGGCCUCAGGAAUUUAUGAUAAGUAGGUUUAUAUUUGGAUAAUGCAGAAUUUAGUGAACACUGUCACUGGGAUGAGUUACUUCCAAAUAGUUUUAUGUUGAGGAAUCCAGAUGGUUUAUGAACAGUCUACCUCAAGCGUCAUCAGUAUGACACAUUGGGUGUGUACAGUGUGGCCAGUUCAUCAUUUAUGCCACAUAGGGCUCUGGUAAUUCAAUGACUCACAAUAGUUAAUGUUAGAAAAUCAGACGUUGCUGCCUAUGUACUGCAUUCCUACUGAAUUUUAACAUCCAAAGAGAAAACCUACUUGCGAUGAAAGACUCAGUGGAUUUUACAGCCAUUAUUUUUAUUAAAGUCAUUAUUUUUUUAGGAACAAUACCCUGAAAAAACAGUGCCCAACCUUUCUCUUUCAUUCUUGCCCAUGUUUAUGAGCUCUAGUUCCGAUUAUCUUAGAUUCUGGCUAAUGGUUAGUGGCCUGGAUAUAUGAAAGCCAGAUGAUAUAAUACCUUCCAUAGUUAGACUUGGAAUAUUCCUGAAUGCCCUAAAUCUUUACACUUAACUAGAUAUUCCUUGGUAUACUUAGACUUGCUUUCUGUAUUUUGACAGAUAAAGCAAGCAUCCCUUAGUUUAAAUAUUUUCCAAGUGGGGCUGCUGGCAAGUUGGUCUGUGAUUCAAACAUAUACACUGUAAAAAAACAUGAGUUUAAAAAAUUAUGGCAGGAGAACAGAGAAUAGAAUUAUGAAAUGCCCUCUUGCCUUUUCACCAAGUACAUUCAAUUCCUACCUACUGACAAGGUAAAAGAAUCUUUCUUGCCCCUGGAUCCAGACUAGAAGUGUUUUAUCUUGCUUCCUAUUUUUAAGGUCUGAUUUUCAACAUUGAAUUAUACAUAUGUUCCUUGAAUGCCUGUAGAAGUUCUCAAUAAAUACCAAAGUAUUAUUACUAUGGCUUGGAAGUAUUAGGGGGAUAAAUAUCACAGUGAUCCCAUGAGGUGUUCAUCUUGUUUAUGUCAGGGUUUUUUUUCAUAUUGUUUAUUUAACUUAGUAAGAUUAAUUUUAAAAAAUAGAUGAUGAGUGAGAAAAAACAUUUUAAGUGUGUUUUUCCUAUAGGAAUGCGUUUUCUUCAAUUUUACCUGACCUAUGGUCAGAAAUACAAUUCAUUUUUUUUAAAAGCAUUGUAUUGAGUUCUACUGGCUAUUUCCUUUUAAUGAGGUUGAAAGGAUGGCCUUUAAAGGGUGUUACCAGAUUAAAGCUUUGCCAAGUAAGGAAGGUGGAGCUGUAUGGGAAUGAGGUUUUGUUUAAUCAGGUUGUACAAUAUUUUGCUGAGACAUGUUGGGAAAAGCAAUCUAAAGUAAUGUGGACUCAGUAUGAAAUGACGGUUUCUUAGCAAAACACACUUUAUAAAAUUUAGAGAUCUUUUGCCAACCUCUUGGGAAUUUACACAAUAGCAAUGCUAGGGAAAAUCAGCUACUGAGGUGUACAUAGAGGCCUUUCCGUAACAUUCAUAAGACUAGAAAAAGAAUACAAAUAGAGGUAAAGCCCACAGCCCAGCCUUUUUCUUCCCACCCAAAACCCCUUCCUGUAAGUGAGAAUUCUCAAAGAUUAUUCAUGUGGCCACUCCUGCCCACAUAUCCAAGCUUUAUUAAGAUUCCUUACAAACAUCUGCCACAUGAGCAUCCUUCAGGCCCAGGUGUUUCACACAGAUGGAACAACCCAUGCCUGGAGACAGAUCUGGGAAAAGUGAGGCAGCUCCUGGCCCUUAGGGCAUGGGAUUCUGAGAUUCCAGGUAACCAGGGAAGGCAAAGAAAGGCAUAUGGUGGCUCAGGCUCUGAAGCAUGAGUUGAAGAGUUGUGAUCCUGUUGUGUACUCAUGUGAAAUCGUUGUGUGUCAACUCUUUCAAGCCCUAUUGUCUACAUAUCUUUAAAAUGUAUGGAAUAUUUAAUAUACAACUGAUUAUUUUAUCUAAGGAAGGGAUAUGUCAUGAAUGAUCCAAGAAAAUAGGCAUGACAGCACACUUGUGGUUGGAUAUAGUACAAUGAUUAGUCCACUAUGAAUAUCUAAAUGCCUCAUACAAAAAUAAGGUGAUGCUAUAAAAUAAUGAGACAAAAGCCCCUCUUGGAAGGGCCUAGAAAGCUGUUUUCCUCAUCUAUGUACUGAAGGAUCAGUUUCAUCUCAUUCCUUCCCGAUUGUACGGCACUGUGAGAAUGAGUUGGCUUUGGGAGGCCCAUGUCUUCUGGUUCUCUCCUCUCUUUGGCUUCACACCCUCUGCCUCUGAGUGUUCUCUUUCUCAUAUGCAUUUUGGGAGGGGUUUUCCUAAAAGUUCUUAAACAUGUUUUAACCCCGAGAGCUGCACUACCUUUUGCAAUAGAGAGAGCUGCAGCUUCAUCUUUAGUCUUUUAACCAAAAAACAUGGAAACCUUACCUACAUUUACUUUUGUGAUAAGGUCAGAAUGAGAGAAUAUAAUCAGAGAAAUGGAGCAUAUGGAUAAGAAAUAAUUAUCAUUUUUGUUUUGAAUAUGACUUUUUUUUAUACCAAGGAUUGAACCCAGAGGUGCCACAUCCCCAGCCCUUUUUUGUAUUUUAUUUAGAGACACAGUCUCACUGAGUUGCUUAGUGCCUCCCCAUUGCUGAGGCUGGCUUUGAACUCACAAUUUUCCUGCCUCAGCCUCUGAGCCGCUGGGAUUAUAGGUGUGCACCACUGUGCCUGGCUUGAACAUGAUUUUUUUUUUUUUUUUUAAGAGAUGGUGCUUGAGCUAGUGUCCAUUUUGGGAUUGGAGAAGUCAGUAUAGGUAAUAAGAAAACCCAUGAAAGUAUAUGAGAUACAGGAAAGUAAUUCUGAGUAGAAUGCAUCAUUAAAUGUUUGAGCAGACAACAAAAACACAUAUAUGUUAACUACUCAGAUUUAAUACUUUAUUUUCGAUAAUGUGAAGUGGUGAAUUUAAUGUAUUGUGAUCUAAUUGGCCAGGAUAGUCUCCCCUACCAACUAAUGAUACCAACUAUCAUUUUAUUAUUUCAAUUCCCUCAUAAUAUUGAUAUAUCUCACAAAUUUAAAUCUUGUUAUUUCUAAUUGCACCACCAACAGUAUAAUAGGCAUAUAUAUAUAUAUAUAUAAAAUAAGGUAUAAUAGUAGCUUCCUUUCAAAGUUUGCAGCAGAGUUUGAAAUAGAGAAAUCAAUAAUCUAUGAUUUAAAAUGGCAAAAACCUGUGCCCUAUGUAGUUCUAGUUCCUAUGUCUUGAGGUAGGGUAGAAUUCCCAGUCAGACUUCUAACCUCUUUCUGGUAAUAAUCCAUGAUCAAGGCCUGUGGUGGCCACGUGUAGCACACAGAACAAAGUGGGGAAGGAAUUUUUUUUUUUUUUUUUUAAGAGAUGGUGCUUCAGCCCUACUCUCACCUGUUCUCCUGGACCUACCUUUCCAGUUCACUGCCCUCCUGGAGCCUGGGCCUUGGUUACCCAGAACAAUAGUUCUCUCCAGGUAGUGCUUGGCCUUCCUGACUGCCUGGACUGCAGUCUAAAGAAUAGCAAUGUCAUGCUCCUCCCAGCCUUUCCUCUACCUCCAACAGCAUUCCUGAGGCUCUCCCAGUCAGUUGGUAUCUGCCAGAACCUACCUGUCUGGUUAGACACCCAUGCAUACUGUUUUGGCCUGGGUAACCUCAUUGCCACCUAAGCACAGAACUGCAGAAAAUCUUAGAAAAUAAAUUAUAUCUUGUGCUACAUUAAAUUCUGGUACUUUAUUAUUGUUCUUAUGUCAGUCUGCCCUCUGUUUAGAUGGGCCUGAUAGAUGACUUUUCAAGAAUAUGAUGAUUAUCUAGUGAUGAUUUUCUUUGAUCUUCAGGUAUCCACAGUUCCAAAAGGACUGGUGUGUGUGUGUGUGAUCACUUUGGCUUGUUUUACUAAGGUGUUGUCAAACUAAAUGUUAGUUUGAGCUGAGAUUUCUGAAAUGAUCUUGUAGAAAAAAUAUUUUAAUUGUAAAUACUGGUCAAACCAAACUAACUUACACCAGAUAUGUUCCUAUCAUUAAUAAAAAGCAACAUUUCAUGGAGUGACAUACUGAAUAUAUCAUGGUUUAGAAAGAAUGCUUUAAAUAAACUAUCAAAUAUCUUUAACAAUUAGGGAAUUGUUUCACUUGUCAAGGUCAGAAACAGCAAAGGAGGGAUAGAAGGAAAUGUUAAUUGGCCUUAUCAAACAGGAACUUGAGCUAAUGCUACCUGCACAGUUUCACUAUAAAAUAAUAUACUUAAAUGUAAAUUUUAUCAAUCACAAAGACCAUUUCAAAAUCCUCAUGGGAAAGGUAAUCAAGUAUUUUCUAGUUUCCAACCUGAGAACCUGAAUGACAGGCAGUUAAAAUAUGGGAAGUUGUUCAACUGAACUAAUUUGCUUAACAACUUAUAUUAAAUAUUUGAUUAAAAUUUUGCUUAACAAAUUCAGUUUGUAAUAGUAGAAACUGUUAAUUGGAGACAGUCUCAGAUAAUAAAAAUAUACUCCUGCUGUCACUAGGUUGAUCCAUAUAGAAAAAAGAUAUGUAUUUUCAGAAUAUGCCAGAGCAAAAAUGUUGGCAUCUGGGAGUUUGAGAAUUCACGUGGAGGUGAUCAGGCAUAUAAAACAAGCAGCAGAGUGGAAAUGGACAUUCCACUGUUUCUGGUUCUAGCUUCACCAAUGAAUAGCUCGGUGAAGUUGGGCAGGUCAUUUGACUGCCUUUGGCCUAAGAAUUUUUUUCUCCAUAAAUAAGAUGUUGGACUCUGAUUUCUAAAGCCAAUUAAAAGUAUGAAAUCAUGUGACUUUUUUAGGAGUUUCUUUCAAAACACACAUUGCCUUUUAUUUAUGUCUGGGCCUAUCUUAAAGCAUUACUGGACCUUAUCCAAUCACAGUUUUAGCAAACAAUGAGGCCACAGAAAGGCUAUUUGCGUCAUUUGAUUUUAUUUUUUCAUGCUCAAACAAUACCUGGCAAAUAAAAAAAAGGUUUCUGAAUUGUGUGAUUGGCACAGAUGCAUGGUCAGCUGCACUGAGAAUUCAAGUAAGCUAUAUGUGUAUUCAGGGUGAAGAAUCAAGAUGAGGGCUGAUUUGCAUUUACCUGUUUUUGAACCAAACCAAUGUUACAAAUUUUGGGUGUGAGACAAAUGCCCAAACUCAAAAACUUUCAUUCUCUCCUACUCAUUUGGCUUUUUCAUUGAAUGCACACUACUCAGUGACUGCCUCUCACUCCCUCUCUCUCCUAUGUUUUCUACAGCAUUUCCCAUUUCAAUACACCCUCUAUUCUUUGUACUCCCUCAUUUCCGUAACAUUACCCACUCUUUCACUUUGGCUCUUGCUUUCUUCUCCAUACCUUAAAUCUAAUCAUAACAUAAGAUGUGUCCCUAGUCCUUUUGCUCCUCUGUAUUAGAUCUCAGUGUAUUAAAAUUUUCUUAACUCAAUUAUCACUAACAUAUGGACAGCUCCAAAUCUGAUAUUGUUAUCUUUGAUCACUGUUGUAUAGUUCGACUGUCCACUGGUAAUAUUCUUAUACAUUCAUUUAUUUGAAGGACAAAGCACAUACUACGAAAGGUCUCUUUUAGGCAUAAUAGGGUAUUUGAGGGAUUUAAAAAAUGUCAUUUCUAGAAAAAAGUGUUGUGCAAUAUGUCUCAAUACUUGUUGGAUAUUUACAAAGCAUUCUCAGUUUUGUAUAGGACCAAAAUGGAUGAGGUAUUUCCAGGAAGACACCUUUUUAUGAUUUAGAAGUCAUUUAAGGAAAACAGAAUUUAAGACUUUGAUUUUUGGAAUAUAUAAUUAAUUCAAAGUAAUCUUGCUCUUAUACAUGAUAUAUAAGAUGCCAAUGAAUUGCCUUUACCUGAGAUAUCUGUAAUCAAAUUGUUUGUCUUUUUCUCAAAUCCAGCAUUCUAAUCUGCUUUCCACACCUGCAGUUUCUGGUGUUUACUCUCGUCACUCAACAACCUGACUCCAUUUAAAUAAAAACUUUAUUAUUAAAAAAAAAAUUAGAGAAACCUAUAACUCCUCCCUUUUCUCCUUCCCCAGUAUUUUUAUGUUCUGCCAAACAGCAAAUUCUAUGGAUUCUUGCUUCACACUGCAUUUUAAAAGCAUCCCUCUGCAUUCCUCAUGCCCCUACUAGAGUCAUGUUCUCACAUCCUGCAUCUCCAAUAUUUUAACUGUCUACUACAUAUUGUUUUGAAUUCCUACUAACAUCUACCAGCUAAUUCUUUGAAAAGCAUUUUAUACUUUUGUGUCAUCAGUUUUCCAAUGAUUACAGAAUGAAUUCAAAUAUUUCACUCUCAAGACCCACCAUAAGCUAACUAUAUGAUUGCUUCAAGAAAAAAUAAACUGCUAUGUUUAGAAAAAAAAAAAGAAAAGGCAUUUUUUUAAGAUUGAGAAUUUCAAUAUUAGGGGAGUUUGGUUCUUAAUAUAGCUUAUUUCUUUGUUUAGUUUCUUAUCUGCAGGUUUGUUGGGAGGCAGCCAUUCUCUGUAGUCAAAUAAAAAUUAAAAUACAAUUGUGAAUAUGUACUUUUAAAGCAAAUUGAUUGUUGAAGAUAUAAGAAUGACAGAAAGAAAGGGACUAAGGCUCUCAUCUAAGCAAGUUCAGGGUCUCCUAGAUGACAGUAGAAUGCUUUAGAAGCCCAUAGAGGUAAUAUCUUGAAUGAGAGCAUUUAGUAUCAAGGUCUCUCUAGAAGUGAAGGAAGGAUUUAAUGCAUUUAUAUAUUAAGGCCUAUAAGAAAAACUUAAGAUUAAAAACACAUUACAAUUCUUUUUGAAUCUAUACAAUUUACUCUGAAUGAAAAGCAAAAGUACUACCCUGUAAUACUUUCUGAAAGCUAAAAAGAUGUGAAAAUGAAGAUCCUCAAAUAUCAAAUCCUUAUAUAGUCAAACUGCCAACUAAAGGCAAUUAAUUGAACCAUUCUCCAGAGGUAAUGAAAGUGAAAUGCAGUGUAGAACUUAGAGGUGAUCUGGUGUGUCUGACUGCCCAGAGCUCAAAUUCUGGCUGUGCACUUAUAAGCCAUGUAUCUUUUGGCAAGUUACUUCAUCUAAAUUUCAAUUUCUUAGCUACAAAAUCUGGGAUAAAACACUAUCUCAUAGGGUUGUGACAAGCAAUAGAUAAGAAAAUGCAUGGACAGGGCUUAGAAAGGGCACUGAACACAUAUUUAAGUACUUAACAACCCUGCAAAGCAAGCAGUGUUACACCUAUUUUACAGAUGAUGAAACCAAUCCAUAGUGAGACUGAGACUUGCCCAAAAUACAUUGCUACUAAGCUAUAGCCUCCACAACUCCAAAAUCUUUGCUCUGUCUCCAGACUGCCCUGUUGCUUUGUACUGCUGGAAAUUUGAUAGUGCAUAAGACACAGGCCCUCCCUUCAAAGAUAACACUUUAAAUAAGGAACAAAGUACAGAAUGGACAAUCUGUACAGGUUCUUCAGGUGAACUGCUUAUGAGCGUUUUCACCCAAGUUUGAAGAGCUGGCUUCUAUAGAAGCUUACUGUUAAAUCUGCUCUUGAAGUGUGGGCAGUAAUCAGUCAUGGGCUUGUAUGCGCUAGAAUGAGUCCUAAGCAGAGGAAACAGCAGGUAAAGAGUGGAGAGGAUGCUGUACUUGCAGAAGUACAAAGGCUGUGAGAGUGUAUGAAACAUUGUUACUAAAAUAGGCCACAUGGGCUGUAAUCUGAAAUUUGGAAAAGGAGUGAGGCCUGAUGUUAAAGAGGUAAAGUGAAAGCAGUUUUCUUCAUUAGACAUGGAAACACAAGGAAAAGAAGCAGGGCACAUGCACAUAUGCAAGAGUGUAUAUACUGGUCUCAGUUAGUACCCUUAGGUGUGUGGGCUGGUGCUCACUUGCAUUGAAGUAGGGGUUAAAAUCCUUUUAAAUAUAAUGUAUGCUCCCAGACUGAGGAAGUCAGACGUGUGUAUAGGUAGCAUAUACUUUGCAGAGAAAAUAACCUUAUUAACAAUUGAGAGAAAUAUCCUCUAUUUCCCACUUCCAGGUAUUCUUUCCUAAAGAAACUUAUCUACAUUAGAAUUAUAUGUUCAAAUGCCUUUGUUUCUGUUGGGAAAGAAUCUUCCUGACUUCUUGUGUGAAAAGUUGUAUUUUCAGUGUUUUAUUCUCAAGGCAGUAGACCACUUACAAACUAAGUUAUUCAGUUCCCUACCAAUUAGCUACAAAGAAGUGCUGGUUUAAGGGUCACUUAAACUCUAUGCCUAAAUAGACUGUCUCAAGAUAGAUUACCAGUAGGUUUCCACAGUCAGUACAAAGUUUACUGUUAAAAACAUUUGUUAAAAGGUAAUUAAAAUAUAAACAUAGUUGGGCAUCUUUGCAAGUUUCAGCAUAGUAUGUUUGAAAGACAACUUAGGAAACAGAAAAGGUACUCUACCUAAAGCCUCCCUGUUUUGUUUAUGGAAAGGUUAUUUGUAUGAUUUCAUGUGGAGUAUUUUCAUGUGGAGUAUUGCUGUAUGCAACAUUAAUAUUGGUGUCAGAGACAGUGGAACACGUUUUCAAUUUAACCAAUAAAAUGUAUAUUAAUAUUAAGCACUAGGGAUCCUAUAAGAUGCAGCUGUGCCCACAAAAAAACUUCAUUUUAUGUGGAUACAAGCAUUAAAAUAUCCAGGAUAUGAUAUAAGUGCUCAAACAGAAGUAUGUAUACAACUUAUUAUAGGAGAUUCAAGAGAAGACAUCCUUCAACCUGGAGGGAAAAAAAUGAUAAAUAAGCAGUUCAGUAUGAUUUUUCUUCCCCAGUAACUAGAUAUGGGAGGGCUGAAUCAUUUUAUAUAGGUCAGAAUAACAUAUGAUUAGCACUAACUUGUCUAAUGUUUGAUCUUAAUUCAAAUGAGUGAGAAUGUUAUUGGAAUUUCUAGUUCUCUUAUCUUUUAAAACAACCUGAUUUCCCUUAUAAGUAUUUUAAAAAGCAAAUUAUGUAAUACACACCUGUUUAACUAGAAAUGUUUCUUUAGAUUAUGUAAUAUAUUGUAUUUGAAAAGUCAAGUAUCAAGCUAAAGUAUCAUAUUGUUUCUGAAAACACUAUGAUGUUAUGUGGAUAUUAUACUUUAUAUAAACUAAGACUUUUCUGAGACUCUGAAAGCUCUAAGACAUAAUUCUCUAAAACUGUGGGCAAUUUUUGGUGCCUUGAAAGCAGAAAUGUUUUAUUAUGAAACAGUGAUGUUUUUGUCAUUGUAAUCUGAAUUCUCUAAUUUAUUAUGAAUAAAUUACAACUUUUAAUCUGAGCAGUCUGCACUUUAAAAUAUUUUAAAGGGUUGUCUUUUGGCGAGUCAAUUUGUAUCAAGAAUUUUAUAUUGAUUACUUCCUCUAUUUUUUCACAUAUAGGUGACUUCAGCUUCUAUUAUCAACAAAGCUGUAAAUUUCUCUUGGCUCUUCCAAGCAUUUCUUUAAUUCAUUUAUUUCUUUUCCAGUAUCCUUAAUCUCAAUAAUCAUAUGGCAGUGCCACUGAUUUUGAAGAACAUUAAUGGGAUUACUGGACACGAUAUAUUUCAUUUUAAGAGCUAGUACCGUCUACUUUUCAAAUUGUAGAAGAGAAAAAUAAUGGUGCUAUUUCCAUACUUCAAUAUACAAUGUUAUGUAAAAAUGUAGCAAAUAUACCAAGUUCAUCAAUGCUAUUGCCUCCACCACCACCCCCCUCCCCCACGCUCCUCUUUUCUUUCCUGGUCCUCUCACCUUUAGAAUUUUUCUAGUCAAAAUCAUACUUCUCAUUAUGGUCAGACUUUUUUUUUUUUAAAUAGUACUUUUAAAUUGGGUUGAUAUUGGUUAUACAGAGGAAGGGAGAGAAAAUGUGAUGAUGAAUCUCUCAUUGGUUAUCCAGGCAAAAAUUUGUUUUGAGUUGUUUCAGAUCUCAUUUGCUUUUUGAUGCUUUUAGGAGAAAGUGGUAUCAAAGCAUUUUCCUGCACCACUAAAGAUGGUAAUUAACUUUACACCAUCGCUCUUCAUCAUGGUUCAUUAGUUUGCAAGUUUUUGGCCCUCAGAAACAAACUCUUAGUACUCAUAUCCUGUCUGGGUCCACUAAAUUAUCUUGUACAAAAAGUACAACAAUUUCUUUUAUGAAUAAAAAUGUACAUGGACUGAAUUUUCUUAAGUGUAUUUAUAUAAUUUUUUAGUAAUAAGGGCACUAUGGUAAAAAACAAAUUUAUAUUGAGUAAGUUGCAUGUAUAACUUUUAUUUGCAAAGGAUAAUUUACUAGAACCAACUAACAAUAUUUCUAAAAUUUAUGCAUACAUACACAUUAUAUAUAGACAACAUAAAUUAGCUUUUCUGUUGAAAUUUUCAUGUUAUAAAUAUAUUUUGUGAGAUGAGAAAUUUUGGUAAAAAGACUAGCAUUAUACAUAGUUGUUUUGAUCUAGCUGAAUUGACAGAAAAAGUACUUUUUUACUGAUACUAGGUCAGGUUGAUCUGAUGGGAAAACCAGGAGUUCUAAAAAAUUUAUAGGCGUUGGCAGUUACAUUAAAGUACUGUUCAGUUAAAAGCAGUGACAGUUUAUUUCACAGGUUGCCUGAGUCAAGUGGAACUUGCUGUUUUGAUAUUUUGCCUGACUUUUUUUUUUCCAUCUACAAACAAACUAGUGCCUUGUAGAAAUAAUUUUUAAAUGUAGUCAAACUGAAAUGUACUAAUCUAACCAAUAUAUUUUAUUAACUGGAAUGGUAAUACUUUUUUAGUGGUACUUGCCUAACACUGGGUUUGUGUAUUUCUUCACACAUUCUGUUAAGUGAACACUCGCCAAAGCAAAUAUCUGAAUGAUAUUUAUACCAGAUUGUUUCUAUGUAGGAACACUAUGUUACACUGCUUGCUUCCUUGAAGUAUUUCAGAUUAGAAGUUGUGAAUGUUGAAUACAAAUUUUGGCUACUUUUUUUUUUUAUGCUACUUUAAAGUACAGUUUUCACAGCUGAAAUUUUCUGGUAAAAGGUAAUCACAAACCAGGAUCUAAAUAAAGCACAAUGAUUAUUCAAUUUGUUAAUCAAUUCUAGAUGCUAAUAUAUUAUCAAACAUUAUAAACCAAAUUUUUCUAAGGAAGUGUAUAAAAGUAUUGACCUAAUAAAACAAGAGAAUGUCAAAAUAGUUUAGGCAGGAAUUCUUUUUCAUUUGUUUUGAGUGCUGCUUGCAUUGGGACUUUUUAGUAAAUAUGAAUGGCCUCUGAUCUUGUUCAUUGCUUGGAAUGCUGAGGAAAGAGAGUUACUCAAUCCUUCAGAGAAGGUGGCAGAUGCUAGGCCUGGGUGCUCCAGAAUACCUCUGAAGUGCCAUGAGCUGCAUGUGGAAGGGCCAAGCAGGCAAUUCCUCACUUCCUAUUUAACACACUGUACUCUGGUUAGGAAACUCCUUUAGUAUCUGUUCCACAUAUUUUAAAUUCUGUGUAAGAAUGAGUUUGAGUAAACUGAAUCUGUUCUUAAAAGAAAAUUUAAAAACCUUGGAAUGGCAAUGGGUAAUAAUUAUGAGACAUGUAUCAGGGGGAUAAAAAAGAGGGAAGUGUCUAUAGGGACCCAAAUCUGAAAUGAUGUCACUCUUAGUAGCGGGCACAAGAAAAUCCUACCAAUUGCACUCUAAAAUAAGGAAAUUAAGGGUUUUGGCUUUUUUUUUUUUUUUGGCAAGUAAAACCAUGUUUCCUUUCUCUCUCACUCUCUUAUUUUCCUUUUACUUUGGUUGUAGAUUUUAGUGUUCUAGACAUUUGAACUGCACAAAGAUAACAACAAGUAAAGUUUGGUAGAAAAACUGAUAAUGUGUUUCAGAUGCAAGGACAGGUGGAAGUUGUACUAAAGACUAAGGAUAAACUAGCUGACAGGAAUCAGAAUGAUGAGAUGCUGGACUUUCCAUUGACACUAAUGACACCAAGGAACUAGUUAAUAAGAAUCAGAACAGGAUGCUGGAGUGUUCCACUGACAAUAAUGAACAUCACAUGGUCUAAGACAUUCAGGAAGAUCCUUUGGAAGCCUUAGAUCUUGAAUUGCUCAAGUGAGAAGACAGAAGAAAAGAGAUAGUAUUUGUAGUAAAAGAAAUAACAGGGAUGAAGGAGGGGGAGAAGCAUGUUUACUAAAGAGAAAGAAGAUAAUCUGAACGGAUAGAAAUGUUUGUGUCUGGGGGGAUAUAGCCUUGAAAUGGUACUGGCUCUGGAACUGUAUUAAAGAGAGGCUUGGAAGGCAAGUAGAGUUCACUGAAUUUAAAGUAUACAGAAGGGGCAACAUAGUUCCACCACUGGUACUGAGCAAAGUGCUUUAGGCCCCGGUGACUGGCAUGUUCUGAGCAUUCCAAGCACUUUUCUUUUACUAUCUUAAAUUUUUGAUGAUGGAACAAAAAUUAAUGGUAUAUCACAAAAUACUAGAUUAUUUUUGAAGAUUUAAAAUUACAUAUGCUGUAGUAGACACAAUUGUGUGGGGGAGAAAAAAGCUUCCCUAGAGCACCAAUAACAUAACCCACCUCUUUUAUGUCAGAAUGAUUUAAUAAAUAGAUUUAAUUUUUAUUACCCUUUUAAAAUCAGAAUUUGGAAAACACAUCUCAAAAUUUUGCUUAUGGUAAGCUCUAUUAAUUUGAGAAAUGGUAUUUAAAGUAAAAUACUCUUUAUUAGGGUGAUCCAGAAAUGUUAUUGAUUAUACUAGAAAAGCAAUGGAUAUUACUAAAGAAUUAAAAUUGGGAAAAGAACUUUCUUUAGGAAGAUUUGAGUCAAGUCUGGAGAAGUAUUCUUUUCCAUGUAUAGCUUUUGCUUCUGUUUCUUCAUAUGCAAGACAUGCAGACAAAAUUUUACCUGGUAUGAAUAAAAAAAUAAUAUGAAGAAAGAAUCAGUGGACUGACAAUAACUUUCUAAGAUUAAUUCAAUAAAUGGUAAUGGAAGAAUUAAUAUAAUAUUAAUUUAAAAAUUAAUAAAUUAAAUCAGCAUUUUUUUAAAGUAAAUCAGCAUUCUUUUAAAGUAACAGAUCCUGAUAUAAAAGUUAGAACAGAUCUAAAAUAAUUCUCCAAAAGAAUUCUUAACUUCUAAAUACAUUUCUUCAAUUUCCACACUUUUUAGACCACCCAGUUAAAAUGCUGUUUCUUCUCUUCUUCCCUUUUCUUCUCUUAUGUUCAUUGUCAUUUCUAGGUAGGUGUAUGUUUAUAUUCAUGCAUGUGACAUCAUUGUCCUUACUCAAAUCAGAUACAAAGAAAAGCAUCUUUUCUAAGCAGCAAAACUUUCUGGAUGCGUACUAUAAAAUGUUUGUUGAGGGUGCACAUGAGAGGUCUGUCAAAAGGUUUGUUUGAAUAGUGGUAAUUGGACAAUAUUCUAAUGUGAGUGUCUUCUGUGACUGUAGGGAUUCUGUUUUUCUUAGAUAGACAUGCAUACUUGGAAAGAGCUGCCUUUAAGUCAGACUGUUAGGAAGGGGAGGAGAGAAUAAGGAGAUGGCUAGAGAUCAGAUCACGUCAGGUGGCAAAUGCCUGUAAUCUCAGUGACUCAGGAGGUUGAGACAGAAGGAUUGCCAAGUUCAAGGCCAGCCUUAGCAACUUAGCAAGACCCUGUCACAAAAUAAAAAUAAAAAAAGGCAUGAGGGUUCAGCUCAGUGAUAAAGCACCUUAUGGUUCAAUUCCUAGUACUGGGGGAGGAGGGAACCUAAAAUCUUAAGACAAAGAUGUAUUUCAUAUUGAAAAAUUUUCACAAAAACUCUUUGAAAAAACUAACUAAAAUUUGGAAUUUGUAACUCAUGGAUGAACUAUACGUUUUAUCAACUUGCUCAAUGAGAGGGAUAGUAAAACUGUUAAUUAGAAUACAUUUGACUAUAAGUAACAGAAAAUGCAGGAAUGAAAGCUAGUUUAAAAAUUUUUUAAGUUAAGACAAUGUCAGAUUUGGCUAAUUCAGCAGUUCAAUUAAUUCUUCAUUGAGGUAGGAUCUUUGCAAAUUUCUGUUUUGUCAUUCUUAGCAUCUAGGAUUACCAGACUAAAUAUAAAACAUCCACUUAAAUUUGAAUUUCAGAUAAGCAAUUUAUAAUUUUAAAGGUAUAAGACAUGCAAUAUUUUUUUGUUAUUCAAAAUUCAAAUUUGACAGGGUCCCUACUUUCCUAUUUCUUUAAACUGAGAAACUUAUGAGCAAAUUGUCUUUUUAGGUAAGUUUCCCUCCUGGUCACAAGGUGGCUGCCAUAAGUUUUUGUGUCACAUGUAGAAGCCAACAUUCAGUGGCAUAAAAAGGAUUCUGUUGAUAAAGAUGAAGGUGAAACAGUGGUGGCUUGCAAGGUAAUUAACAAUGUAGGUCACCAAAGCAAAAAUUUUUGUUGACUAAAACAUAGUUCCUCUAAUAUCAGAUACUUUUGUAAGAAGAUGUAAUUUAUCCUGCUUUUUUAUGGGAAAUAGAAAUAAUUUUUAGAUUAAUUAAUUUAUUUAUUAUAUUAGGUAUAUAUGACAACAGAAUGCAUUUUGAUUCAUUGUACUCACUUGCAGCAAAACUUUUCAUUUCUCUGGUUGUACACAAUGUAGCGUUAUACCAUAUGUGCAAACAUGUAACUAGGGUAAUAAUUUCCAUCUCAUUCCACCAUCUUUCCUGCCCAUACCCUUUCUCCCAUCCUCUCCCUCCCCUUUGCCCAAUCACAGUUUCUCCAUUUUUCCCAUGCCCCUCCCCCAUUAUGGAUCAGCAUCCACUUAUGAGAGAACAUACACGGCCUUUGGUUUUUUGGGGAUUGUCUUACUUCAUUUAGCAUAUUCUCCAACUCCAUCCAUUUACAUGCAAAUGCAAAAAAUUUAUUUAUCUUUUAAUGCUGAGUAAUAUUCCAUUGUGUAUACAUACCACAGUUUCUUUAACCAUUAAUCUAUUGAAGUGCAUCUAGUUUGCUUCCACAGUUUAGCUAUUGUGAAUUGAGCUACUAUAAACAUUGAUGUGGUUGUGUUACUAAAGCAUGCUGAUUCUAAUUCCUUUGGGUAUAAACUGAGGAGUGGGAUAGCUGGGUCAAAUGUUGGUUCCAUCCCCAGUUUCCCAAGGAAUCUCCAUACUGCUUUCCAUAUUGACUGCACCAAUUUGCAGUCCACCAGCAAUGUAUGAGUGUGCCUUUUCCCCCACAUCCUCGCCAACACUUAUUGUUGCUUGUACUCUUGACAACUGCCAUUCUGACUGGCAUGAGAUGAAAUCUUUUUUUUUUUUUAAUAUUUAUUUAUUUAUUUAUUUUUAGUUCUCAGCGGACACAACAUCUUUGUUGGUAUGUGGUGCUGAGUAUGGAACCCCGGGCCGCACGCAUGCCAGGCGAGCACGCUACCGCUUGAGCCACAUCCCCAGCCCUUACUAGAGAUGAUGAACAUUCUUUUUUUCAUACAUUUGUUGAUCAAUUGUAUAUCUUUUUCUGAGAAGUGUCUGUUCAGCUUCUUAGCCCAUUUAUUAAUUGGGUUGUUUGUUUUUUGGGUGUUAAGUUUUUUGAGUUCUUUAUAUAUUCUAGAGAUUAGUGCUCUAUCUGAUGUGCAUGUGGCAAAAAUUUGCUCCCCAAAAUGUGGGCUCUCUCUUCACCUCAUUGAUUGUUUCUUUUGCUGAGAAGAAGCUUUUUAGUUUGAAUUCAUCUCAUUUAUUGAUUCUUGAUUUUAUUUCUUGCUUUUUGAUUCAGCGAUAGGAUAUGGAUCAACUGUCAUAUUAUGCAGAGACCUCUGUUCUUUUUGGAUCUGUAAAAAUUGAUAUUUUGUUUCUGAGAACUUUAGCUUUAUUAGAGCUGAGAAAAUCCCCAUAUCACUGCAUCUGAAAUAAUUAAAACAAUUUUUAGUGAAUAUUCUGAACGAGUGGAAGAAGAUGGCUAUCUGUAGAUUCUAUACUAUCUCUAGGGCACACAUUAGGUUGUUCUCCAUGUGGAAGGUUGGUGGUUCUCUCCUCUUUGAGUGGUUCACAUUACCCGUAGCUCAAUUUCCCUUCUCUUUCCACUUGCUCCCUUUCAAAAAUACCCAAUCUUUAGCCCUAUUUGUAUUUAAGUGAUAAUGGUUUUAAAUGAGCUAGAUAAACUAAUCUGUAUUAAUAUUUACUUUGCUAAUGUGUUGGACCUCUGAGGUAAUUUAAGGCUUUAAUCAUUUAAUCAUUCCUAAAGUUCAACCUUUUAAAAGCUCUCCAGGAAUGCUGCCAGAUAGGCACCUUAGGGACAUGGAAAUUUUGGCUUUCCCAUCAUACUCACAGAGGCAGGUGGCUAUAAGAAAGGUUUUCUUCUAUGACUCUUGUCUAGAGUCUGUUCAUUACAUCAGCUUGGUGUCCUAACUUCCCCAUAUUUCACUGCAAACAAUUGGGCUCUACAGUCCUUUUCUCCACCCAUUUCCUGUCUCAUCCUGAGUGAUUCAAACAUGACUUGUAAGGAUGCCCCACCUAACACCUUUAAAUCACAACUUCUUGACCUUCUCUGAUGCACAGGCCUUUUCUUUGGACUUAAGUAUUCACUACCAUGGACCAUAUGCCACCCACAGUGCUACCUAAUUUUCCUAGCAACCCUGUGUCUCCUCAUCUGUCAAACUAGUUCCUUGUGUGAUCGGUGUUUCCUGAAUUUUCCUGGUCAUCAAGAUCACUGGAAUGCUUCAUAAUCACAAGCCCCUCCCUAGAGACAGAUUCAGAGCCCAGGUCUAUCCUUGUCUUGCAGAAACUGCAUGUGUGCCAAAUAGGUAAAAGCAAUUCUAAUGUCUCUACUGAAUCCAGUAGAUUCAUGAAUAUGCUUUCAACAUGUAAUCAAUAUAAAAGUAGUAAUGAGAUAUUGUUACACCCCCAUAGUUACAUUUCCCAUAGUUACACUUCAAAAUCAUACUAUCUUAGAUCUAAAUUCCUACUUCUUUCAACUAUCACUCUUUUUUUAAACAUUUAUCAGACUACCUUAAUGACUUCACAAGAGAUCUAAAAUCUUUCAGAAAAUAGCAAAGGAUCAGUUCUCUGAGCCACUCCACAGGCCUACUUCCUCCAUUCUUGCCCUCCCUCUUCUGUCUAGCCUGCAUCCUAUAAUUUAUCCCAGCAAUUAAGCCCUCAACUUCCUCUGCCUUUCCAACUUCCAUUACACUCAACAUCUGAACUCCUAUCCUAAAUGAAUGAGUCUUUUGCAAUUCAAAACCAAUGUAGUCAAACCUGCUAAAUAAAGCCAUAUAUCAUUGGCAUGUGUCUCCCUAAGAUGCUCAACAACAAGAAGGCAUCAAUUGUGGAGUGGUCAAGAGCAUGGAGCUCAGUUCCCAACUCCACCAUAUAUAUGUGGGGUGCCCAUAGGAAAACAGCAUGACUGCUUCAUACCUCACUGUCUUCACCUGCAAAGGGGAUGAUAAUUUAACAUACCUUUCAGGUUUAUUAGGAAUGAACAAACUAAUGUUUAUAAGGUGCUUAGUUAUAUAAUUGUUGGAUAAAUAAAAGUUCUACCUCUCCUUUGUGGUUCUCUGUUCAUAAUUAGUUACAGCUAUUCCAAAUCUUCAUUCUUUGUAAUUCUCCAAACAGCUCAGGCUCAAUCACUUCAGCAGAUGAUGUGAUCUAAUUCUCAGAAUAAAUGUGUAUAUUUGUGUAUGUAUGUGUACACAUAUACAUACAUGUAGUAGGUAUGAAUUUCUUCAAAUAAUCUCCCUCUGAGAAGCCCCAGGACAUUGGUCUGGGCAAUGACUUUUUUGAAUAUGACUCCCAAAGCACUAGCAAUUAAAGCAAAAUAGACAAAUUAAGUUAUACCAAACUAAAACAUUCUGUAUAGCGAAGGAACCAGUCAACAGAGUGAAGAGACAGAAGAAUACCUAUGAAAAGUAUAUUAUCUGAUAAGUGGUUAAUAUUCAAAAUAUAUAAGAAAAGCAAACAAGCCAAUAGCAAUAAAACAAACUGAUUUAAAAAUGGAAAAAAUAACCUGAACAGACACUUGUCAAAAGAAAAUAAACAAAUGGCCAACAGGUUUAUGGAAAAAGGCCAAAUAUUGGUUAUCAUCUGGGAAAUGCAAAUUAAAACCACAGUGAGAUAUCAUCUCACAGCUGUUAGAAUCACUUUUAUCAAAAAGACAAAAGAUAACAAGUGUUGGUUAUCUUGCACACUGUUGGGGAAAUGUAAAUUUAUACAGUCAUUAUGGAAAAUGGUAUGGAGGUUCCUUGAAAUAGUAAAUAUAGGACUACCAUAUGAACCAGCAACCGAAAUCAAUAUGUUGAAAAGAUAUCUGUGCUCCUAUGUCUAUUGCAGAUUUUCCAUUUCAGACAAUAUGAAAGAACAUGGAGGACAUUAUAUUGAGUGACAUAAGCAAGCCACAGAAAAACAAAUGCUCUACAAUCUCAUCAUAUGUUGAUUCUAAAGCCAUUCAUCUUACAGAAGUAGAAAGUAGAAUGGUGAUGGUAAUAUGCUGUAGUGGUUGGGGUUGGAAAUGUGGAGAUGUUUAUCAAAGGAUACAAACCCAGUUAUUCCACUCCUCAGUCUAUACCCAAAGGACUUAAAAACAGCAUACUACUGGGACACAGUCACAUCAAUGUUUAUAACAGCACAAUUUACAAUAGCUAAACUGUGGAACCAAUUUAGAUGCCCAUCAGUUGAAGAAUGGAUAAAGAAACUGUGGUAUAUAUACACACAAUGGAAUACUAUUCAGAAUUAAAAGGGAAUAAAAUCAUGGCAUUUGCAGGUAAACAGAUUGAGUUGGAGAAUGUAAUGCAAAGUGAAGUUAGCCAAUUCCAAAAAAAAACAAGUACGGAGGUUUUCUCUGAUAUAAGAAUGUUGAUUCAUAAUGAGAUUGGGGAGUAGAGCAUGGGAGGACUAGACAAACUCUAGUUAGAGAAAAGGGGAGGGAGGGAAAGAGAGGGGGCAUGGGAUUAGGAAAGAUGGUGGAAUGAGAUGGACAUCAAUACCCUAAGUACAUGUAUGAAGACACGAAUGGCGUGACUCUACUUUGUGUACAACCAGAGAUAUGAAAAAUUGUGUUCUGUAUGUAUAAUUUGAAUUGUAAUGCAUUCUGCUGGCAUAUAUAACAAAUUAGAAUUAAAAAAAUUAAAAUAAGGAAAUAAGGGCUGAGGACUGCCUAGACUUUGGUGAUUUUUUAUGGUCAUUUAUUUAUAUUAUGGUUUUCCUGCUCUUUUGUUUUAUAUUGGUAAAUUAAUUGUUUAAUUUGAAUACCCCUGCAAUUUCCUGUAUCCCUCUUCUAAAAGAAACAAGCCCACAGAUUUUCACUCUAAUUGAGUCUUCAUUUUUCACCAUCUCAUGGCAAUUAUUGUCAAGGUCGGUAAUAACAUCAUAUUCUGCCACAUUCAGAGGCCAGUUUUUAGUUUCCAUCUUAACUAGCAUCUCAGAAAAUUGGUAAAAUUGAUCAUUACUUACUAUUUAAAACUUUUUUUUUUCUUUUCAAUUACCUUCUGGACACCACUUUGGAGUUUCUCCUUACUUCAUCAGUUGAUUUUUCUCAGCCUCUUUUGCUGGAUUUUGCCUCUAACAUGUGGAGUAUCUUACAAGUUUUUUUUUUUUUUUUUUAGUUUUAGAUACCAUCUAUUUGUUUAUGAGUCCUUAAAAUUUAUGCUAGCACUAGUUUUUCUCCUGAACUCUAUCUUCAUAUUCAACACCUCCACUUGGAUAUCUAAUAAUUCCUUCUAAUUUAACACAGACAACCAACUUUUGUUUCUCCCCAAAAUGCUCCAUUAUAAAUCUCCUCCAUCUCAGUGUUCUUACUCCAGUCUUCUGGUUGCUCAGGUACAAAAAUGUGGAAUCAUUAUGGUCUCCUUCCUUUCUUUUACAUAUUCUUCCAAUCCAUAAGCAAAAAAUCCUACUGGCCUUAUCUUGAAGAUACAUCCAUAAUCCCUACCAUUUCCAGAGCUCUUUCUCUGGUACAAGCCUUCAUUAUUUCAUAAACCUCCUGGGUUUUCUCCCUACUUCUAUCUCUAUCCCAUUAGUCAAUUUUACAAAUAGCAGCCAGAGUUAGUCUUUUAAAACAUGAGUUGGAUCAUGUCAUUCCUUUGCUUAACAUCCUAAAUAACCUCUGCUCUCACAAAUUAAAAGUGACCUAAAAACCCAAUGUGAUAUGCUUCUCUCCUCUCCUCACCCAUGGAGAAUGUGUAAACUUAAAGAUUGAGACACUCAGAAUUAUGACAGUACAGCUGGUAGGAAAAUAAAAGCCAGCGAAGGAGACUGAAAAGUAGGAGAAUCCGGAAAUAUAACAUCAAGAAAGAAAUGAGAGAAGUAGUGAAUACUGCUGACUUUUAUGGAUAAGUAUAAAAUGAGGGCUGGAAAAUAUUCACUGGAAUAUCCUUCCAGAGAAAUGUUUGACACUUACUGCAUGGGGCAAACCAACGUAACUGUGUGAAUGAUGAGCCAUUUUAGAGAGCAUUUAUGAUUGUUGCCUUUGUAGGUUUACAAUAAUUUUUGAGGGGGAAAUAAGAUGUUUGAUCAGGAUCAUAGAGAAAGAUGGAUAUCUGAUAUUAAUGACUUAAAAAUACACAUACCCAGGGGCUGGGGUUGUGGCUCGGUGGUACAGCAUUUGUAUAGCAUGUGUGAGGCACUGGGUUUGAUUCUCAGCACCACAUAAAAAUAAAUAAAUAAAAAUAAAGGUUCAUCCACAACUAAAAAUAACACACACACACACACACACACACACACACACACACACAAUUUAAGCUAAACUUUUAUCAGGAGUUCUAUAUCUGAACGUUUAAGGAUACAUACCUAUCAAUGUCUUACAGCAUAUUUAAGACAUUUAGCAUUCCACUAAUUUCCUUUUUUCUGCCUUGUUUUUCUUACUCUCAAAUUAUUCCCAAAUAACCAAUCUGUAUAAAUUCUCUAUCAUGUUAAAUGACAUCAACACCCAUCCAAUUACCUAAACGAGAACCCAGGCCUUGAUAAGGGCAUUCUGAGUUUUCCUCUUUGUCCAUUUCUAAUCUGUCAAAUCUGAAUGUAGCCCUUUCCCAUUGCUCUAAGGCAGAUUUUAAUCAAAGUAUCCACCACCCACAUGCUAAUAAGUUCCUAAAUGGUUCCUUUAUUUGUUGCUUCCUAACUCUUUAACUACACAGUUAACUAGUUAUCUUACAACAGAGUACUUCAGUUAAAAACUGAAAAUUGAUUCUGACUUCCACUGGCAAUAAGACAGUCCCUUAGAACAGCAUACUAAGACCUUUGAAAACUGGCCCUCACCUACCUUUCCAACCUCAAUGAUAAUAGCAAUUAUGAUAGUUCCCUGCUUGUCUUAAAAUAUUCAAACUGUAGUACAUUGUAGGGGGUCAUUCACAUACUUCCCUGUACUUCUAGUUCUGAACUAAAUAAAUAGCUAGAGCUUUUGAAGUUCAAGUACCCCACCCUCAAAAUGUGAAUACAAUUUCAAAAAGUUUGGAAAGAGCCAUAAUGUUACACUUUAACGGAAUAUCUUUGUACAUUUCCCUUCUAAUAGUCUUCUAGGAGUGGUCUUAUUCUCAUAGUGAAUGUGUUUUUGCAUAUUUCCCCAUAUAUUUGACUUAGCUAUUCCUUGCUGUGUUACAGAAAAAGGUUAUAAAAAGAACAUUUUUUUUUUUUGAGAAAAAAUGGAAGUCGAAAUUUAAGGAAAGAAAAAAAAAAAACAAGGGUGGGGACAAAAUAGAGCUAUGAAUAAGGUUCAAGACGCAUACCAUGAUGACCUACUCAUCUGUCAUGGAUGAGCCACAUACUGGCUCUCAAGUUUUCCAGCAGCCAAUGUAAAACUAGAAAUUUUGUCAGUUAUGUAGUUUCUAGUGCCCAUGACAUUAAAAAAUAUCCUGGUAAUUUCAGCUGUUCUUGGAACAUAUAUUAUAAGGAGAAAUUUCUCCUUAACUUCUCCUAAAGAGAAUACAGGGUGACAUUCUUCAAGUUUGGGAAGACUCCUUAUUAGACACAGUGCCUUCUCAUUUCAUAUCAUUGCUUAUAUUGAGAACUGUUGUAGGCAGGUGCCACUGCAUAAAUCACAGAGUGAUUGGGUAAAAACUGACUCUCUGGAAAUCACUGGAUAUUUUCAAGGCACUCAGAUCAUUUCUGGUCUGCUAUAAGUCAUGGGUAAAUGUUAAAAUAUUGAAAUAAAUAUAAGACAUAUUCAGUAGUCAUAAUAGUAGCUGAAUUUGUGUCCUUUAGAAAAACAUUCUGAAUAUUGUUUCUACUCAAGUUAAAGGUUUCCUCUUUUAAUUAUUAUUUCAGUUGUACAACAUUAUGGGGUACAGGGUGAUAAUUGGAUAUAUGUAGACAGUGUGUAAUGAUGGAAUCAGGACAGUUAACAUUUCCCUCUCUUAAAUUUGAACAUUUAAGUUAGAGUUUAAAUAGUUCUUAGUUAAAAUCUUAAAAGUUUGGGUCCCAUAUAUGUCAGUUGAGGUUUGUUUGGAAGUCAGAUUUUAGUCUGAGAAGCCAAAUUCCUCACUUUCUUAUCAUGAGCAGUAUUCCCCUUGGGCAAGUCUUCUAAGUUCAAGAAUGUGGCUGGACCAGGGGUGUUACAGUCUUGAGCUUUUCCUAUAGUAGAAAAUAAUAUGCUGUCCUAGAACACUCAAACACAAGUUGAAUAACAUAUUCAGGUUUGUAGAAAUUCUGUUCCCAGUCUUGUAUGCUCUGCAGAAAUAUGGCAGGACGGAACUCUGAAUUUUGGAUCUGAAGUAUCAACUUUAGUGAGAAAUUUUAAUAUUACAUGUUAAAAACCUAGAUCUUUAUUUUUCGUUUUCUGAGUGAGAAGAUUAGAUAAAAUAAAGGCAGUUUUAAUAUUUUGGCCUUUAUCAAUGUUCGUAGGGCUACUGAGAAAUCUAGUUUAUACAAAAGGAACAUUCUCCUGACUAUCACUUAUCUUAGACUUGCACAUAUAUUUUCUCUGCUGAAAUGUACAUAGCUUAUUUAGCCACAUGGUUGCAUUUUAAAAAUAUUUUAAACAACAAUGUAAAUAUCUCAAGGCAUAGCUAAUCAUUUGGUAAGAAUAGGUCUAUUACAGUUCUUCCCAGAGAUGCAGGGGAACAGGAUGACUGCUUGGUUGUUGAAUGGAUAUCUCUCUAUAUCUACUGCAAACGGAUUUAUCAAAUAAUCUGCUUAUAAAUAGAGGCUUGUGGUAUUUUGUGGUAUUGUAUGAAGAUACCUGGUAAAUUUUAUCCAAAUCGCUGCAAUGGGCACCAGUAUAACAGAUAUCAGAAUUAUCAUACUUCUUUCUCUACCACUGCCACACCAUGCCACUUCUCACUCCUACAGUCCUUAAAAUGGUGAUAUAAGGUUUAGCAAGAAGCUAUGUUUUCCCUAUUGGUUUUAACUCUGGACACAGCUGCUUUAAAGAGUAUCACCACAUGAUUAAACUUGCGUAGUCAAGGGCCUGGUAAGAACUGAAGUUUUCAAAUGACAUUGAAAACUUGACAUAUGCUAAUUGCUAGACUUAUAUAUAAAUAUAAAAUUAUAUUUGUUCUAAUUGCUAUAUUUUAAAGGGAAUAUUCUCUUUUAUGAUUUUGAUUAUAUAAUCACCAGAGUGAAUAUUUUUAUUCAUAGCAUUUUCUUCUACUAUAUGAGAUAAACAGUAAAGGUUGCAGCAUAAUUUAUGGUGAUAGUAAAAGAAAAACUAACUACAUUAUAGGAAGAAAGAAUGAGAAAAGAAAAGAAAACAUAAGCAAAGUGGAAAAAAGGAAGAAGAGGAAUGAGAUGAACACUCAGAAAGGCCAUAGUGUAGGAUAGUACUAUUUGGGUCAUUAUCAUAACACCAAAACUUUACAGAAUCUACCACAGUGUUAGAACUCAACAAAUGUGCUGAAUAUUGAAAAAUGAAGAAAUAAAUGUUUUAUAUAAAUUUACAUAUAUACAGAUACACAUAUGUAUAUACACACACACACACACACACAUACACACACACAAUGAGCAGAAAUAAGUUCAUGCUGCUAUCCUAUACAUCCAUAAACUAGAUUUGGACCCAGAUAAGAAUGGAUGUAUUAGAUUUGUAAUUUCUUUUAAUUUGUUAAGAACAGAGUGGAGGCAUGUCUACAUUUAACAAGAACUCUCAUGAUUACAGACCAACAGAUAUUCUGGAAACUCUGAAAAAUCCUUUUCAAUGAUUAUUGCAAAUAUUCUGAAAGUAUGUGCUCGAUAUAAACAAUUCUGGCCCAUCAUAUCACUUGCUAUUAGUUGAUUUAUGCUUUGAAAUCUGUUUUGCAGCAAUGUCUGCUCAUACCAGCUUUCUCUAAAAAUCACAUGAGAAAUGUGUAUGAUUUCCUGAUAUGUUCAAAUUAAAGUAUUAAAAUAUUUAUAAUUGUUACCCAAAGCUUCCUGUGUGGUAGAUAAGGAAGCACACUAAACUGCUGAUAGGGAUUUUUGUCCUUAACCAAUUCUGUCACUAUUUGGCUGUUGACCUUGGGCAGGCUACUUAAACUUUCUGAGCUCAAUAUUCCUCCCCUAUAAAAUAAGGGAGUUAUAGUAGAUAAGUCUCUCCUUAGGAUCCCAUUGACUUACAAGUGCCACUGAUUCUCUCCCCAUUAUCCCUAAGUGAGGAAUCCCAAUACUCUCAGUAUGCUGAGAUGGAGCAACUGCUGAAGUCUGAGGCCUGAAGUGCCAUGAGACAGUUGCACAUGGUAGGCAAGGACAGAGUCUUUGCAGGGGAAGAGGCUUGGUGUGUGACCUGGGGCAAGUAUUAGCCUCUCAGAAAUUCAAUUUCCCUAUCUAGAAAGUGAGAGUAAGACAAGUUCUUAUAGAGGCUCUGUAUUAAAGAAGAUAGUAUAAAUUCUAGCCCUAAUUAUGGUAACUGGCACAAAGAAGUACCCAAUUAAAAGCAUCCAUUUUUUUAACAUUGUUAUUUUCUUGGCUCCAUUGAAACAACUGCUUUUAGUAAUGCUUCUCCCAACUGAUUAUCACAUUAUUUUAAUGAAUUAUGGUAUUUAAAGGGUUUUAAGGUGCCAAAUUGGAAUUACUUGUUUAAACAAAAAAAAAAGAGGGAAAGUCAUGGGCUCAGGGAAUCUCUAAAAUUAGGCAGAGAUAGCCUGUGUGCUAACCUUUACCCCAUGGCUCCUUCAUUUAAUAACAAAGUAUUAAUAAGUACAACUUUAAGUUGUUUGAUGAGUACUUGUAUAAUCUAGGUCAACUAUGCUACUUAUACAAACUUUCAUGCCCCAGAGACAUUUGAUAGUAAUGUGCUUGACAUUUUAGUUUGACAUACAAUUAUAGGAAAAUUCUUGGUCUUAGUUCUUAAUAUCAAUAGAUAUUAACUCCCUUUAACUUUGUCAUAUAUGUAAAUUUCAUUUAAAUACACAUAAAUGAGGUAAAAUCAUUCCUAGAUGAGACAGAUACAUUUUGAAGGCUGUAUACAUUCUUAUUUUAUAAUUAAUAAAACAAUUACUUAAGAACACACACAUGAUGGACAAAAAUUCCAUCAUGUCCAAUGAUGGACAAAAAUUCCCCCAAAUGUGGGAAACAGAGUAUUUUGCUUUGCUUUUAACUAUGACAGGAAAUAUCUGUUUGUUUAUUUUGACCCUUGUACUUCCAUAGCCAGAUUAAAUUUCAAACAGAGUUUUCAUCCUCUUUACCAACAAUUGUCACCCUGCCUUGUGGAAACUCAUGGUUUGCAGGGAGUUCAAGAAUAUUUGCACAACUUGGGGAUGGACUUUUUGUGUACAGGGGACUCUUCUAACCAUAGGGCCCCCUACAGUAUGUUAAUUGGUUCACAACAAUAUUCUGGGUCAACCUGUGUUAAAGAUGAUUUUAAAGCCUAUCAAAUUUUAUAGCAAGAGUUUUGAGUUAGCAUUAUAUGUUUAAGAAUGUCUCCUUGAUUCUCAAUUUCUUCUCAUUCAGGAGAUAUGAGCCUCAACUGAC
RNAcentral lists this long non-coding RNA (40528 nucleotides) under Marmota monax (woodchuck). The record is from RNAcentral. Lineage: Eukaryota; Metazoa; Chordata; Mammalia; Rodentia; Sciuridae.